This 443-nucleotide ribosomal RNA is filed under the name uncultured bacterium. RNAcentral describes it as "partial 16S ribosomal RNA". It matches the Rfam family "Bacterial small subunit ribosomal RNA", at positions 338 to 795 of the family's 1533-position model. The record is from RNAcentral.
CCUACGGGCGGCAGCAGUGGGGCAUAUUGGGCAAUGGAGGCAACUCUGACCCAGCAACGCCGCGUGAAUGAUGAAGGUCUUCGGAUUGUAAAGUUCUGUGAUGGGGGAUGAACACAAUGACGGUACCCCAAUAGCAAGCCACGGCUAACUACGUGCCAGCAGCCGCGGUAAUACGUAGGUGGCAAGCGUUAGCCGGAAUGACUGGGCGUAAAGGGUGCGUAGGUGGUUUAGUAAGUUGGCGGUGUAAUUCCGGGGCUCAACCUCGGCGCUACCGCCAAAACUAUUAGACUAGAGUGCAGGGGGGGUAAGUGUAAUUCCUAGUGUAGCGGUGGAAUGCGUAGAUAUUAGGAGGAACAUCAGGGGCGAAGGCGACUUACUGGACUGUAACUGACACUGAGGCACGAAAGCGUGGGGAGCAAACAGGAUUAGAUACCCGGGUAGUC